This 451-nucleotide ribosomal RNA is filed under the name uncultured bacterium. RNAcentral describes it as "partial 16S ribosomal RNA". It matches the Rfam family "Bacterial small subunit ribosomal RNA", at positions 28 to 507 of the family's 1533-position model. The record is from RNAcentral.
GAUGAAUGCUGGCGGCGUGCCUAACACAUGCAAGUCGAGCGGCAGCGAGGGGUGCUUGCACCCUGUCGGCGAGCGGCGAACGGCUGAGUAACGCGUAGGAAUUUGCCCCAAAGUGAGGAAUAACUGCCCGAAAGGGUAGCUAAUGCCGCAUAUGGUCCUCGGAUUAAAGGAUUUAUCCGCUUUGGGAGAAGCCUGCGUUGGAUUAGGUUGUUGGUAGGGUAAUGGCCUACCAAGCCGACGAUCCAUAGCUGGUCUGAGAGGAUGAUCAGCCAGACUGGAACUGUGACACGGUCCCGACUCCUACGGGAGGCAGCAGUGAGGAAUCUUCCACAAUGGGCGAAAGCCUGAUGGAGCAACGCCGCGUGAAGGAUGAAGGCCUUCGGGUUGUAAACUUCUUUUAUGAGUGAAGAAUAUGACGGUAACUCAUGAAUAAGCACCGGCUAACUACGUG